This 21-nucleotide microRNA is filed under the name Ornithorhynchus anatinus (platypus). RNAcentral describes it as "oan-miR-1340-5p". Lineage: Eukaryota; Metazoa; Chordata; Mammalia; Monotremata; Ornithorhynchidae. The record is from miRBase by way of RNAcentral.
CUUCCAAUCCAGAGGACAGCC